UGCCAGUGAUAAACUGGAGGAAGGUGGGGAUGACGUCAAGUCAUCAUGGCCCUUACGAGUAGGGCUACACACGUGCUACAAUGGCGCAUACAAAGAGAAGCGACCUCGCGAGAGCAAGCGGACCUCAUAAAGUGCGUCGUAGUCCGGAUUGGAGUCUGCAACUCGACUCCAUGAAGUCGGAAUCGCUAGUAAUCGUAGAUCAGAAUGCUACGGUGAAUACGUUCCCGGGCCUUGUACACACCGCCCGUCACACCAUGGGAGUGGGUUGCAAAAGAAGUAGGUAGCUUAACCUUCGGGAGGGCGCUUACCACUUUGUGAUUCAUGACUGGGGUGAAGUCGUAACAAGGUAACCGUAGGGGAACCUGCG
Molecule: ribosomal RNA, 367 nt
Filed under: Enterobacter asburiae
Lineage: Bacteria; Pseudomonadati; Pseudomonadota; Gammaproteobacteria; Enterobacterales; Enterobacteriaceae
Description: bacterial SSU rRNA
Rfam family: Bacterial small subunit ribosomal RNA
Source: RNAcentral